GUCAACUCUCUCUCAUAUACGUAUAUGAUGAGUCUGAGUUUGUUGUGAUAUGAAUUGCUAAAUCUGAAGUUCUUGUUUAAUUUUUUUUUUUAAAAUUUUGGUUUAUGGUAUAAGUCAAAUAAAACUUAAAUUCUGAAUUAGUAAUCAGAUAUUUUCUUAUUUCUAGUUUGUUAAAGGCUAAAAAAUUCGGGCAAAGUGAUUAUUACAAUAAUUAGUCAGUCAUUCAAGUCCCUAAACCAAUGUAAUUAUCAAGAGUGUUGAGGACUUUCAGAACUCUAUAAAAUAUGUUGGUUGUACGCAUUUGAUUUUAUUUCCUAGCACAAAUCUUAAUAACUUUAGCUACUCCUCUCACACGUCUCACGAAAUUGAUGGAGUAGUACACCUGUAAAAGGCACUCUAAGGCUCAAGCUAGGAAAGUAGAAGCAUCGUAGCAGGGUUUUAAUAAAGGAAUUCAGUCAUUCCUGUUGUGAAGAAAUCAUGUCGUAUUUGUACAUUUCUUACCUUCUCCUAUCAGGACAUGGAAGUGUAACUCAUACGACACCAUAAUUGUCAUGAAUCCUGAGUUUGUAAUGAAGAAAAGAAAGGAAUCUCUUAUUUUUGGUCCUUGUUUCCUUGUUGGACUUAGUUCCAGAACUAAUUAGAGAUAGUUAUUGGCUUUCCUUUACUGGAUAGUUUUGGGUCUCAAGGGUGUUCACUUGGGGAAAAACAAACUCUGUUGGCCUACCCAGCGUCCUAUACGGUUAGGAUCUUAUUGAUAUUGCUACGUCAAUUUUUCUCUUUUUAGGUGUUCGUGCCAGUAGCACUCGUCAACUUUAGACUGGCCGGCUUUUGCACCCCUAUACUUGUUCUACUGUUCUCUACUUCUGAUUGGGGGAGAGGGAAAAUUUAGUUCAACUCCUUUCCGUAUGCUGACAGUUGGCACUGAUAGCCAAACAUCUCAGAGUCUGACUGUUUAUGCUGUGGACUCUUGUAACAACGGGGCAUAAGUCUUAAUUUCUUGAGGAGGACUGUUCAUUCAAGGAUCUAGAUGAGUUCAGAAAUUAGUCAGCAUCUCUCCGUUUGCCACCUUCAUGGUGAAUACGGAAGUAAGGUGCUUCGUUGCCAAGAAUUCCCAGUUUACUAAGGUAUGAACAACUUGCAUGGCUUUGUAAGUUAGGGAUAGGUCCGGGCGGCAUAUGCUUAACCUUGAGCAGGGCUGGUCCUGACAGAGUGGAUAUACAUGACACUGUUAGUGAGAGAUGAUUGGUUGAUGCUUUAGGCAUCCUGCAUAGAUGUUUAUUCUCAAAUCGAAGGGGAGACGGAGAUGGAGAUGCCGGAGAUGAAUGUGAGGCCUCGACGAUAAGCUAAGUAUACCUUUGUAUCCUCUCAAAUGUUAUUCCAUUCUCUUCUUAGGUUUUGCUCUUCCCUGUAGCUCGCCCCCCUUUCAAUGGGCUCCUUUUGCUUCUCCAAUCUUGCCCAGAGCAAUUUGUUCUCACAUGAUGCUCCUGGGGUAGGGUGAUUGGUUGGGGCCAAAUAAACUCCUUUUCCAGGUGGCCUCCAAUAGCUGCUAUUGCCACGUUACUUUGCCUAAUUUUUACUGUUCGUGCCAGCAGAAAUUGUCCACAUGUUUGCUUUGUCCAGGCUUAAUUUUACAUUCCAACAUUUACACCCCCAUCCACGCGUUCAGCAAGAUUGAAACAUAGCCAUUUUUUGUUUAAUUCCUGGGCUGCAUCAUUUGUCUUUUAAGAUCUGCUGUGUUUUCCUUAGCCAAAUCUUCAACCAAGCAUGAUCUGGUAUUGGCUGUUUUGCCAAUAAAGUUUAUCUGUAAUAAUAUACAUAAGAGCUAAAUGUUGUCACGGUAGGAGCAUAGAGUGCAUGUUAUGUUGAUCUCUUUUUAUUUACAUUACUAUGUAGAUGUGAAAAUGUUUGAUGUUAUAUUCGGAUUGGCGGUGUA
Prunus avium (sweet cherry) is the source of this 1933-nucleotide non-coding RNA. The record is from RefSeq and is a predicted model, not a curated record. NCBI's taxonomy places the organism in Eukaryota, Viridiplantae, Streptophyta, Magnoliopsida, Rosales, Rosaceae.